Long non-coding RNA from Salvia miltiorrhiza (redroot sage), 587 nucleotides. RefSeq lists it as uncharacterized. NCBI's taxonomy places the organism in Eukaryota, Viridiplantae, Streptophyta, Magnoliopsida, Lamiales, Lamiaceae. The transcript is spliced from 4 exons. The record is from RefSeq and is a predicted model, not a curated record.
GGUUGUGGGCCUUUGUCUUGGAGGCUUUUUUUGCUGAGAUGGACCUCGAAUCUUCUGAGACAGGGGAGGUCAAGGAAGAAACAAGGAGUCAAGGAGGCUUAUCGGUACUAAGUCAAGGAAUCAGAGGGUUGAUAUGCUUCUCCACCACAUUUUGAGCGCUGAGCUGCACGAAAACGGCAGGUUCUUCCCUCUCCCUAGACCGCACGCGCUUCUAGCUUAUGAUUGGUUACACGUAUUUAUCAAGGGCAAUGAAGCUUUCAUUAUCUUUUGAGGGUUUGGAUGUGAGGGGAAAAGGAGUUGAGCUACAAGAAGAUGAGAUUUUUUCUCCAAUCAUCACUUUUGCAGUGGAAUCUGUUAUGUGAUCAUGUGUUUUUUGAGUGGUUUUUGUUUGGUACAGAUUGCAGAUUCAGGCUCUCUCUCUCUCCCUAGAAAAUCUUGAAGAUUUUCCACUUCUUAAUUGUCUUUUUUAGGUUGUAUUUUUAUUAAAAUGGUCACUAGCUUUAUGUUGAAAUUUUAGUGGGGCGUGUUAAAUUAUGCAUGGAGUUACAAAGUCAUGGAAUCUUACCAGAAAUCCAAGAUUUCUUUUA